RNAcentral lists this ribosomal RNA (411 nucleotides) under Verrucomicrobiota bacterium. RNAcentral describes it as "Verrucomicrobia bacterium partial 16S ribosomal RNA". It matches the Rfam family "Bacterial small subunit ribosomal RNA", at positions 355 to 776 of the family's 1533-position model. Lineage: Bacteria; Pseudomonadati; Verrucomicrobiota. The record is from RNAcentral.
UGGGGAAUAUUGCGCAAUGGGGGAAACCCUGACGCAGCGACGCCGCGUGCGGGAUGAAGGCCUUCGGGUUGUAAACCGCUUUUGAUUGGGAGCAAGCUUUCGGGUGAGUGUACCUUUCGAAUAAGCGCCGGCUAACUACGUGCCAGCAGCCGCGGUAAUACGUAGGGCGCAAGCGUUAUCCGGAAUUAUUGGGCGUAAAGAGCUUGUAGGCGGUUCGUCGCGUCUGGUGUGAAAGCCCAUCGCUUAACGGUGGGUUUGCGCCGGGUACGGGCGGGCUAGAGUGCAGUAGGGGAGACUGGAAUUCCCGGUGUAACGGUGGAAUGUGUAGAUAUCGGGAAGAACACCAAUGGCGAAAGCAGGUCUCUGGGCUGUCACUGACGCUGAGAAGCGAAAGCGUGGGGAGCGAACAGG